AUGAGAUCGGCAAAGAUGACCCUGUUCUAUCCGUAUGCAUCUACAUGGGCUACCUUUUUGAGUUGUCCACGCAUCAUAAAGCAUAAUGUUUUUUACAGGCCCGUUGCUUGCCGGAGUACAAACAGUUCUUUUGUAUAUGUCUUGACUUCAAUGUUCUCUUAUUAUGUUGGAAAUGUUGAGCCUUCAUGUAGAUACUUGGCCAUGAUUCCUUUGGGUAGCUUGGACAUAAGGGCACCAGAUAGUCUUAUAAGUUAUGAUUAUGAAAAUGUUGUAAAAUUUAUAAGGAAUGGUUUUGCUGUUCGAUUUCCUUUUGAAUUUCAAGACAGCCCCUGGGCAUAUUCUUGGAUCAUCAACACAUGCCUGAAUGAUUCAAUGAGCUACUUCUACAAACAGAUAUCUAGUACAAGCAUCGGAAAUCAGAGUUCUGCAAUUGUCGGUAUCGACAUCCAUUUCUUGAAAUGCAUAAAUGACUAUUCCUACCAGACUAAAUUAUUUUGGGCUGCGGUAGUCAUAAUAUCUGCUAUAAAUAUUGUGAAGUUGCUUGCUAUAUUAUCGAGGCUUGUAUUUGCACCAUUGCUCGUGUUGACCUUCCUUGCCUACAAAUACUGGAAAAUGAAGAUAUCAGUUGACGCGGUUGAGAAGUUCCUCAUGCAACAAGCCUUUGGCCCAACAAGGUACGCUUACACAGACAUCACCGCAAUCACAAGCCACUUCAGAGAAAAGCUGGGCCAAGGAGGCUAUGGUUCUGUGUACAAAGGUGUUCUCCCUGUUGAUGUCCAUGUUGCCAUUAAAAUGUUGGUCAAUUCCAUGUGCAAUGGAGAAGAAUUCAUUAGUGAGGUGUCCACCAUCGGAAAUAUUCACCAUGUCAAUGUAGUGCGUCUAUUGGGUUUCUGCUCUGAGGAAAUGGGGAGGGCUCUUGUUUAUGAGUACAUGCCUCAUGGAUCGCUUGAUAAGUACAUCUUCUCGUCUGAGAAGAGUCUAUCCUGGGACAAGCUAAAUGAGAUUGCUUUGGGCAUUGCUAGAGGGAUUGAUUAUUUGCAUCGAGGAUGUGAUAUGCAGAUUCUACACUUUGACAUCAAGCCACACAACAUACUUCUUGACAGCAACCUCAUCCCCCAAGUUUCUGAUUUCGGUCUCGCCAAGCUAUACCCAAGGGAUAACAGUUUUGUGCCACUGAGCGCGUUACGCGGAACUGUUGGGUACAUAGCUCCUGAGAUGAUAUCUCACAACUUUGGCAUCAUAUCAAGCAAGUCGGACGUUUACAGCUUUGGGAUGCUGCUGCUGGAGAUGGCUGGAGGAAGACGAAAUGCAGAUCCAAAUGCACCGAACUCAAGCCGGGCAUACUAUCCAUCAUGGGUGUAUGAUAGGCUAACUGAACGAGAGGUGGAUGAGAUAUCUCCUGCUGCUGACAUGCAUGAGCUAGAGAGGAAGCUGUGCAUUGUUGGGCUAUGGUGCAUUCAGAUGAGAUCUCAUGAUCGGCCAACGAUGAGCGAGGCCAUAGAGAUGCUGGAAGGUGGUGUUGAUGACUUGCAAAUGCCAUCGAGGCCAUUCUUCUGUGACGAAGGGCACAUCCAUGUUGAGGAUUCUUACCAUUUGUCAUCCGAGUUGACUGCAAUAUCCGAGGAGAGCGAAAAUAUUUAUGUGUGA
Molecule: ribosomal RNA, 1647 nt
Filed under: Triticum aestivum (bread wheat)
Lineage: Eukaryota; Viridiplantae; Streptophyta; Magnoliopsida; Poales; Poaceae
Description: partial small subunit ribosomal RNA
Source: RNAcentral